GCUAGUAAUGGCAGGUCAGCAUACUGCCGUGAAUACGUUCCCGGGCCCUUGUACACACCGCCCGUCACACCAUGAGAGUUGGGAAUACCCGAAGCCUGUGAGCUAACGAAAGAGGCAGCAGUCGAAGGUAGAAUCAAUGAUUGGGGUGAAGUCGUAACAAGGUAAC
This 166-nucleotide ribosomal RNA is filed under the name uncultured bacterium. RNAcentral's name for it is "partial 16S ribosomal RNA". It matches the Rfam family "Bacterial small subunit ribosomal RNA", at positions 1334 to 1500 of the family's 1533-position model. The record is from RNAcentral.